Etheostoma spectabile (orangethroat darter) is the source of this 1359-nucleotide long non-coding RNA. RefSeq lists it as uncharacterized. The record is from RefSeq and is a predicted model, not a curated record. The transcript has 4 exons. Lineage: Eukaryota; Metazoa; Chordata; Actinopteri; Perciformes; Percidae.
GAUGUGCUUUGGAGUAGAGGGACGUGUCUUGGCUUUUCUCUUGUCCAUUGCUGUUGAAGUUGUAAACACUUUCAAUUUCUCCCGCUGAGGGUUUCAGAUUGAAAUCCAUUUGAUCUCAGUGCAAAGAGCGAGUUGCUUAUUUCAUUCAUGUAUCUUAACAUCUGUUUUCCUUGUGCUUUGUAGACGACGAAAACCUAAAACAGUGCCACUCUCAAAACUUUCCACUUUUUUAUGCAGUUCCUAUUCUUGCACUUUGUCAGCAUGAAAACCUCAGAGACCAGUGCUCUAUGGAGAUACAGUAUAUAUGACUUUUCUGCAUUUUCUGUAUUUUGAAUGGAAAGCAAACCUUUUUUCUUAAUGAUCUGGGUUAUCUCACAUCCCAAUCCAAUGAAAGUCUUGGUGUGGCUGUGUGAUGUGUAAUGUUUCAUAUAAUGUUAUUUUUGGGCAGAUAAUUUGGGCAACAAAGUGCUACACAUCCCAAAGGAAGGCCUACAGCGGAGCCCUGAGGAGGCAUCAAGGACAAGAAACCGGUACUGAGAAUGGAGAGUAAGCCUAAGGGGCUGCAUAUGUGUGUUGGUGUGGGUGCCUUUGUCUCUCUAUUCUUCUCUCUCGGGAUGCUAUCUAAAAAGUCACAGGCUUUAUCUUUUGAUCUGUGAGUCUUUUUUUCAAAACGCCAUUGAAGCUCCAGCAUCUGCUUCCUGACUCUCACUCUCUAGAGUUUUUAGUUAAUGAGGCACUGGGCUCUUCACCUCUCACCAUGACCUAUCCACUUUCUUCAUAAUUUUUUUUUUCUUUUGCUCUCUUUGUACUUCCAUCAUCUCUCUUCUUUCUCAACAAUCUCAACAAGAGAUAGACUUCUGGAGGAGCUGCUGCGUCAAUCUGUUGGUCACAUCAGCCAAGAGUUUAAAAAGCCAGAGGUCAAGAAGAUCAAGAGCAUCAUGCAGAUCUCCAAGUUUUCUUCAGGUACAGGUCAAACCUGCCCUACCUGUCUAUACUGAAAGAGCUGUGUGAAGAGCUUGCCCAGCUCAAGGUUUGCCAACUUACUCCUAAGCUGAGACACAUUGUCAGUCUCAUUUGCAUCAUCUGGGUCAACUCAUCCCACUACAACACCAGUGAGAGGAUCUCCUGUCUCUUUUGCAAGGAAUUGCAGAGACUACACAAAGGCUGAAGGCUGGAUUCAACCUAUGACACAUCUCAAACAUGGUCCUUUACUGGGGCAGCUGAGGAAUGAAAUUAUUUAGUAUGAGUAAUGAGAUCUUCUGCCUGUGCUUCCAAAGCAUCUCUCUGGACAGGAUAUUUAAGGGCUACGUGAUCUCUAGCAAUCAAGACCUCAACGACUGUAUUCGUUGAUGCCUGGCC